GGUCUUCUUCAUCCCAACAGUCCGCGUAUUAUGAUGAACAGGGCGAUCCUUCCCAGUGGUCUUCCAGUAUCCUUUUUCAGUGGCCCUAUUGGUCCUCGACCCAUUGCCAUACUUCUUAUCCAACAUACUAAAAAAAUACCACUCCUUGUCCCUAGUUUUCAACCUCGACUUAUCUAAACCCACCAGGAUAAAGUAAAAUUAAAAAUAAAAUUAGACAAAUUAGGACAUCGUAUCCUAACAAAUAGAUUAAAGACAAAUAUUUACAAGUAUAUAUAUUUACCAUACCUGAAGAAUAACUAGAUCUGUACAAAAAUCGUAACUUUGUGAGCAAAAAAUGAAAUUUAGGGAAAACAAAGUACCAGGUAGGUCCCAAGGCUCGGACUUGUAAAUAUCGGUGACGCAGAUUGGGUUGAACCGG
RNAcentral lists this long non-coding RNA (418 nucleotides) under Citrus sinensis (sweet orange). RNAcentral's name for it is "long non-coding RNA (CSIN_LNC003109)". The record is from RNAcentral. Lineage: Eukaryota; Viridiplantae; Streptophyta; Magnoliopsida; Sapindales; Rutaceae.